AGCGCAGGCGGUGCGGCAAGUCUGAUGUGAAAGCCCGGGGCUCAACCCCGGUACUGCAUUGGAAACUGUCGUACUAGAGUGUCGGAGGGGUAAGCGGAAUUCCUAGUGUAGCGGUGAAAUGCGUAGAUAUUAGGAGGAACACCAGUGGCGAAGGCGGCUUACUGGACGAUAACUGACGCUGAGGAGCGAAAGCGUGGGGAGCGAACA
Molecule: ribosomal RNA, 207 nt
Filed under: uncultured bacterium
Lineage: Bacteria
Description: partial 16S ribosomal RNA
Rfam family: Bacterial small subunit ribosomal RNA
Source: RNAcentral